GGGGCCAGCGGCGCGAGUGCCCCUGAAGUCGCAGGUUCGAGACUCGGUCCUGGCGGAGUGGGGUGGCUAUGGCGCGGCGGGCCGUGCUGUUCGACCUUGGAGGCGUCCUCUUCGUGCCCGGCGUGCGGAACUUCCUGGGCUCCUACGAGCGGCGCUGCGCUUUACCCAGGAAUUUCUUGCUAAAAGCCAUGCUUGCUGGUGGAUCUGACAGUCCUUAUGCCAAGGCGAUGAAAGGACAAAUCACCCUGUCCCAGCUCUUUUUGGAGAUGGAAGAGGGCUGCAAGCAGCAUGCCUCCACCUCGGGCAUCACCCUGCCAGCCACCUUCUCCAUUGCCCAAGCCUUUGAGGAGAUGGCAGUUGAGGGGACAGUCAAUGCCCCCCUUCUGCGGGCAGCGAGGGUACUGCAGAGGAACGGAUUUAAGACCUGCGUCCUCACCAACAACUAUGUGGACGACAGCGCCAGGCGGCUCUUCACAGCCACACUGAUGAACAUGCUGCACCGCCACUUUGACCUGGUGAUCGAGUCCUGCCGGCUCGGAGUGCAGAAGCCAGAUCCCAAGAUCUACACCUAUGCCCUGGAUGCAUUGCAGGUGAAGCCACAGGAGGUCAUCUUCCUGGACGAUGUCAAGGAGAACCUGAAUCCAGCCCAGGAGAUGGGCAUGGCCACCAUCCUCGUCAGGGACACCGAAACUGUCCUAAAGGAGCUGCAGGAGCUCUCAGGUGUCCAGCUUCUCACCAAAGAAGAAUCUCUGCCAACUGCGUGUGAUCCAUCCAAAGUGACCCAUGGAUACGUGCCCAUCCGGUCUGGUGUCCAGCUGCAUUUUGUGGAAAUGGGGCAUGGCCCCGUCAUCUGCCUCUGCCAUGGCUUCCCCGAGUCUUGGCUCUCCUGGCGCUACCAGAUCCCAGCUUUGGCUGAUGCCGGCUUCAGGGUGAUCGCUCUGGAGAUGAAGGGCUACGGGGAGUCCACAGCCCCACCAGACAUUGAAGAAUAUUCUCAGGAGCAGAUCUGCAAGGACCUGGUGGUUUUCCUGGACAAACUGGGCAUCCCGCAAGCUGUGCUGAUUGGCCACGACUGGGGUGGUGCUGUGGUCUGGAACAUGGCUCUCUUCUACCCCGAGAGGGUGAGAGCUGUGGCCUCGCUGAACACCCCAUAUCGACCCGCUGACCCCACUGUGGACAUUGUGGAGAAGAUGAAAAACCAUCCCAUGUUUGAUUACCAGUUCUACUUCCAGGAGCCAGGUGUCGCAGAGGCAGAGCUCGAGAAGGAUAUCAGCCGGACCCUGAAAGUCCUGAUCCGCUCCACACGCCAGGAGGACCGCCUGCCCUCCAAGUUCAAAUUCCACCAGGUCCAGGAGCGAGGGGGGCUACUGGUGGGCUUCCCAGAAAACCCCCCUGCAAGCCAGAUCCUGCACGGCUCCGAGCUGCAGUAUUACAUCCAGCGCUUCCAGAAGUCUGGGUUCAGGCUCUUCCCAUGCUACGGGCAGUGGGGUGGUCUCCAUGGUGGUGUCAGCAGAAGCUGAUUCCCAGCAUCUUUGUUGGAGACAUGGACAGUGGGAUUGAGGGCACCAUCAACAAUUUGGCAAGGACAACAAGCUGUGUGGCGUGGUCAAUAUGCUGGAGGGAACAGAUGGCAUCCAGAAGGACCUGGACAGGCUGGAGAGGUGGGGCUGUGAGAACCUCAUGAAGUUCAACAGGGCCAAGGACAAGGUCCUGCAGCUGAGUCAAGGCAAUUUCAAGCACAAAUCCAGGUUGGGCAGAGAAUGGAUUAGGAGCAGCCCCGAGGAGAAGGACUUGGGGUGCUGGGGCUGAGAAGAUCAACAUGAGCUGGUGAAGGGCGCUCGCAGCCCAGAAAGCCAAACUGUGUCCUGGGCUGCAUCCAAAGCAGUGGGGUAAGCAGGGCGAUGGAGGGGGUUCUGCCCUUCUGCUCUGCUCUGGUGAGAUCCCACCUGGAGCCCAGCAUCUAGUUCUGGAGUCCUCAGCACAGUAAGGACAUGGAUCUGUUGGAGCAAGUCCAGAGGAGGCCACGGAGAUGACCCAAGGGCUGCAGCAUCUCGCUUAUGAGGACAGUCUGAGAAAGUUGAGGUUGUUCAGACUGGAAAAGAGAAGGCUUCAGGAAGACCUUAGAGCAGUCUCCCAGUACUGAAAGGGCAUCCAGGAAAGCUGAGAAGGGGCUCUUGAUCAGGGAGUGCAGGGAUAGGGUGAGGGGGAACAGUUUUCAGGUGAAAGAUAGGAGAUUGAAGAACCAUUUUCCUGUGGGGGUGGUGAGACACCAGCCCAGAUUGCCCAGAAAAGUGGUGGCUGCCCCAUCCCUGGAGGUGUUCAAGGCCAGGUUGGAUGGAGCUUGGAGCAACCUGUUGCAGUGGGAGGUGUCCUUACCCAUGGCAGGCGUUUGGAACUGGGUGAACUUUGAGGUCUCUUCCAACCCCAAACCAUUCCAUGAUAUUGUGUCUGAUCUCCGCACCGUUCACCCCUCUUCCAGGGGCCCCUUGAACUGGUACCGCAACAUGCGACCCAACUGGCACUGGGCACUCUCUGUCAAGGACAGGAAGAUCAUGAUGCCAGCACUGAUGGUCACAGCAGGGAAGGAUAUGGUGCUGCAUCCCAGCAUGAGCAAGGGCAUGGAGGAGU
Molecule: RNA transcript, 2628 nt
Organism: Cuculus canorus (common cuckoo)
Lineage: Eukaryota; Metazoa; Chordata; Aves; Cuculiformes; Cuculidae
Gene: EPHX2
Gene name: epoxide hydrolase 2
Exons: 17
Source: RefSeq, a predicted model, not a curated record